UGACUUUGGCUUUUCAGAGCCUGUUUGAGCUCGACAGAGAUACGCUGCAUACUCGGUUGGGUAGCGCCCACGAGUGCCACUCCGGAGUCAGGCUUUGUGCUUUCGCGUUGGUGUCGCUCAUGCCAGUUGGACUUGCUCUCCACGGACCAGUUAGUGUGGAUAGAGCCCGAUAGUCGCAACGGGGCAGGGACGGGUGUAUUCACAGUCCCGGGGACGGGUAUGCUUACAGUCCCGAUUGGAUUGGGUCAGAUUUGACAUUUCCUACAGUUGGUUAGUGUAGAGCAUGAUAGCGUAGUGAUUGAUAGCGGUAGAGUGUACUUCCUGCUUUUCCUACUAUUUUUGCUCCCUUCUGUAGACUUAGUGGGUAGACCGAUGUUGUUUUGGGCGGCACCCACUGAGGACUACCUGUUUUUACAGUAGUUCUCACGCUCAGUUGUUACUCCUGUUUUGCAGAGCCACAGGUGCCGGCUGCUGCAUCUUCCGCCGACCAGAAUCGAGGCAAGGACGUUGCGAGCUAGAGCCCUACCCGACAGUCAGAGCUAGAGGCUUUCCACUACUGCAGGUAGUUGUUUUGGAGUUUAUGUACAUAGUUGUUUAACUCGCCAGUGCGAGUAACCUUGUAUUUUGGAUUCUAGCUAUGUAUAUGAAACUCAGUUAUUUAGUUUUUUUGAGCAGCUCUAUGCUACUGUUUGUAGUAUCGUAUUUCUACAGGUACUUUGACGUUUCGUAUACAAGGAAAAUUUCUUUGUAUACGGCGGAUUUGUCGGCGUGCCCGGGGAACGAGAUAUCCGGGGCGUGACAGAUUAAGUUGGUAUCAGAGCUUUGCUAUAGGUCGUUGGGACCUAGGAAACCCUAAGUUGGCAAACCUUAAGAAGCAAGACGCGAGAGGCGUCAUUUAAUUGCGAAGGUCAAUGAUUAUUUGUUCUAAUUCCUCCUAGAGUGGAGUGAGUGACUGAAGGAGUUCCUGUUUUGGCCUGAAAAAUUAUGUUGGCUGCAGACGACAUAAUUUUGGAGGAAAACAGGGACCGCCUUCCCGACUUUCGUUGAUUGGGUCUAGAGUGUUGCGUGUAUCUGACCCCGACUUGUUUCUUUUUAGCUAUGUAUCGUCGCCGAGGUCGACCGUCGUUGCGGGAUCGUGCGGGACCUUCUGAGAGAUCUGAGCAGAUGGAGCAGAGUGCUCGGCAGGAGCAGAGGGACAGACCGGAGGUUAGUGCAU
This 1216-nucleotide long non-coding RNA is filed under the name Ananas comosus (pineapple). RNAcentral's name for it is "long non-coding RNA (ACOM_LNC012374)". Lineage: Eukaryota; Viridiplantae; Streptophyta; Magnoliopsida; Poales; Bromeliaceae. The record is from RNAcentral.